This 253-nucleotide ribosomal RNA is filed under the name uncultured Legionella sp. RNAcentral's name for it is "partial 16S ribosomal RNA". It matches the Rfam family "Bacterial small subunit ribosomal RNA", at positions 524 to 776 of the family's 1533-position model. Lineage: Bacteria; Pseudomonadati; Pseudomonadota; Gammaproteobacteria; Legionellales; Legionellaceae. The record is from RNAcentral.
UACGGAGGGUGCAAGCGUUAAUCGGAAUUAUUGGGCGUAAAGGGUUUGUAGGUGGUUUAUUAAGUUAUGUGUGAAAUUCCUGGGCUUAACCUGGGGUGUGCAUAUAAGACUGGUAGACUGGAGUAUGGGAGAGGGUAGUGGAAUUUCCGGUGUAGCGGUGAAAUGCGUAGAGAUCGGAAGGAACACCAGUGGCGAAGGCGGCUACCUGGCCCAAUACUGACACUGAGGAACGAAAGCGUGGGGAGCAAACAGG